AAUACGUGUAGUUUUACACCGUUCAUAUCCAACGUUUGACCGUGCGUCUUAUUUAAAUUUUUUUAUAAUUUAUAUUUUUAUUGUUACCAGAUGAUAAAACAUGAAUAAUACUUUAUGUGUGACUAUUUUUUUUAUAAAUUCUUGAAAUAAGAUGAACGGUCAAACGUUGGACACCGAUUAUCACAACUGCACUUAUU
Non-coding RNA from Oryza glumipatula, 197 nucleotides. The record is from Rfam. NCBI's taxonomy places the organism in Eukaryota, Viridiplantae, Streptophyta, Magnoliopsida, Poales, Poaceae.